Non-coding RNA from Populus trichocarpa (black cottonwood), 99 nucleotides. The record is from Rfam. Lineage: Eukaryota; Viridiplantae; Streptophyta; Magnoliopsida; Malpighiales; Salicaceae.
CUUUUUAGGGACAAACGUCAAUAUUUUAGACGAGUCUCCUAUUUUUUAGGGACUGAUGUCAGUUUUUGACGUGUCUUCUAUGAAUAUUGUUUGUCGACA